RNAcentral lists this ribosomal RNA (391 nucleotides) under unidentified. RNAcentral describes it as "bacterial SSU rRNA". It matches the Rfam family "Bacterial small subunit ribosomal RNA", at positions 563 to 951 of the family's 1533-position model. The record is from RNAcentral.
AAGGGCGCGUAGGCGGUGUGUCAAGUCAGUUGUGAAAUCUCCGAGCUUAACUCGGAACGGUCAACUGAUACUGUCACACUAGAGUACAGAAGGGGCAAUCGGAAUUCUUGGUGUNGCGGUGAAAUGCGUAGAUAUCAAGAGGAACACCUGAGGCGAAGGCGGGUUGCUGGGCUGAUACUGACGCUGAGGCGCGAAAGCUAGGGUAGCAAACGGGAUUAGAUACCCCGGUAGUCCUAGCCCUAAACGAUGUAUGCUUGGUGUCUGGAGUUUUAAAUCUCUGGGUGCCGCCGCUUAACGCUUUNGGGAUACCGCCUGGGGAGUACGCACGCAAGUGUGAAACUCAAAGGAAUUGACGGGGACCCNCACAAGCGGGGGAGCAUGUGGUUUAAUU